This 103-nucleotide non-coding RNA is filed under the name Sus scrofa (pig). Lineage: Eukaryota; Metazoa; Chordata; Mammalia; Artiodactyla; Suidae. The record is from RNAcentral.
GGCUGGUCAGAGUGCAAAAGUGAAAUGGUGUUUACAAUGAAUUGAUCGACAACCAGUUACAGGUUCCUUCUCCACCCCCACUGCUUCAUUUAACUAACCUAGA